GAGAAAGGGUGUGGUUGUCCGGGAGGCCCCUGCUGGAGGUCUCCCUGCCCCAGAGAUAGGUGUCUCGAAUAUCAGGAUGGGAGUGUGAGGACCCCGAGAACAUCAGGGCAUGGGCACAGGCAGGGGGCCCUGAGAACAUUGGGGCAUGGAUUGCAAUAGGAAGUUAGGACUGGGGCUGUAUUGUUUACGGGUGUGUCCCUAAUGCCCGUGGGACAGGGUAUACAGCAGGUACCCAAUACAUGCAUAGAUGGCUGAGGAGAGGGAUGGCUGUCUCUCACUCUAGGAUGGAGGCUCUGCCUCCUUUGUUCUAGGGCAUUCUCCUUCCUGUGCCCUGAGGCCCACAAGAAUGGGUAUACAGUAGGUACCCCAUAAAUGCUUGGAUGGCUGAGGGAAGGGAUGGCUGUGUCUCACUCUAGGACAGUGGCUCUGGUUCCCUUGUUCCAUGGCAUUCCCCUGCUCCUGUCCCCAGCCCUAAGUUUGGAAGAAGGAACCCCCUCCCUACCACCCUAAAAACACCACCCCAUGACUGGAAAGGAAGUAGAAUGGCUGGAUGUUCACUUACCAAGGCCGAUCCGGGGAGGAUGGGGCAGACAUGGUGGGGCCAGAGGUGUGGGGGACAGAGAGACAAUGUCAUGGGAGAGGUCAGAGGUCAGAGUUCCCUCAACCCCCAGGGUCCUGGUUAACACUGCCCCGUGAGAAUCAUUCCGUGGGGGGAGAGAUCAGAGACGGGAGGGGGGCGGGGGCGAAGAGGACCUGCCCUCCCCACCCAGCUCCCACCCAGCCUGCCUGCCUGGGCUCUGGGUUUCUGCCAUCUUUGGCCAGAACAUUCUCCCCAAACUAGGAGAUGCCUAAAAAUAGACCUAAGCAGGGAAGAAGCGGGAUUCGGGGGGGCUGGAGCGGGAGGACACAUUAACCAGAAAUGAGGAGCAGAGAGCCUGGGGGAGGCUGGAAGCUGGGUACGCAGGGAGAGACAGAGACUAAGAGACAGUGAGAUACCAAGAUAGGGAGAGCCACGUGAUAGACUGGGGAGAGAUGAGAAAGAGACCAAGAGACCAUGAGGGAGUCAAGAGUCACCCCGCCACCCCCCUGCAGUGACCAAGCUGGCCCUGGCAGAGGGAGGGGUGUCUCUGGAGAGCUCCCAGCUGGAGGCAGGGUUUCUCUAUGUUGCCCAAGCUGGUCUUGAACUCCCGACCUCAAGUGAUCUGCCCGCCCCGGCCUCCCAAAGUGCUGGGAUCACAAGCGUGAGCCACCGCACCUGGCCCUUCCUCUGAGGCCUUCGUCUCCAAGAAUCCAGCAAAGUGACAAUAAUGAAAAUAAUGUCACUAAAGGGCCAGCACCACAGAAGAAAUCUCACUGGAACACCUGACUUCAAGUGUGACCUUGAAUCUCACUGAGCUCUCAAAUGUAACUGCCAGUUCCCCAAAAUGUGAGGAACUGAGAAACAGGGUGAAGAGCAGUGGCAUGAUCUUGGCUCAUUGCAACCUCCACCUCCUGGGCUCAGGCAAUCCACCUCAGCCACUUCCAUAGCUGGGACUACCAGCAUGUGCCACCAUGCUCAGGCUGGAGUGCAAUGGCACAAUCUCGGCUCACUGCGACCUCCAUCUCCCAGGUUCAAGCGAUACUCCUGCCUCAGCCUCCCAAGUAGCUUGGAUUACCGGUGCCCACCACCACGUCGAGCUAAUGUUUGUAUUUUUGGGACAGACAGGGUUUUACCAUGUUGUCCAGGCUGGUCUCGAUCUCCUGACCUCAGGUGAUCCACCUGCCUCGGCCUCCCAAAGUGCUGGGAUUACAGGUAUGAACCACAUGUGCCCAGCCCAAAAGCUACAAUUUUAUCCUCAACAGUCUGGUUCCCAAGUCUAUGCUCUUAAAAAGGUAACCCCCAUUCUCUCCCCUAAAAAGUCUCAACAGAGGGAGGAGUUGUCAACAAAUAUAUAGCAGAUCUUGCCCUAGAGUCUCCUGAAACAAAAGGUAGACUGAGUGUAAAUAAAGCUCUAGCCCAGUCCAGCCUAGCUCAAUUCCUGAUUGGACUGAGGUGAUCAGCCUGUUAUCCUAUCUGCCUAAGAGAGGGAAAGGACACUUCUCACUGGGCAAAGAUGACAUUGCUUCAUCCCUAUGGUUCUUUUUUAUACAAUGUCCAGAAUAUAAUAAAAAACUACAAGGCAAGGGAUGAGGCAGGAAAAUGUGGUGGAUAAGAGAGAAAAAGAGACAACAGAAGCAGACACAUGGAUGAUCAAAUCUGGAAGUCAGCAAACAGAAACUUUUAAAGUUAGAAGAAAAGAUGAGCAAAAAUGAGACAAAAGAUGGAGAAUUUCAACAGGGAAUUGGGAUCUACAAAAAAAUCACAUGGAUAUUUUACACUGGAAAAAAAUAUAUAAUAUCUGAAUUUUUUUUUUUUUUUUUUUUGAGACGGAGUCUCGCUCUGUCGCCCAGGCUGGAGUGCAGUGGUGCGAUCUCAGCUCACUGCAAGCUCCGCCUCCCGUGUUCAUGCCAUUCUCCUGCCUCAGCCUCCCGAGUAGCUGGGACUACAGGCACCCACCACCAUGCCCAGCUAAUUUUUUGUAUUUUUAGUAGAGACGGGGUUUCACCAUGUUAGCCAGGAUGGUCUCGAUCUCCUGACCUCGUGAUCUGCCUGCCUCAGCCUCCUGCAGUGCUGGGAUUACAGGCAUGAGCCACUGCGCCCGGCCUAAUAUCUGAAAUUAAGAACUCAACGGAUGGGGUCAACAGGACACUGGGCACAACAGAAGACAUAAGUGGUGAACUCAUAGACAAGUGAACAAAAAACUUCCCAGUUGGAUUACAGAGAGGAAAGAAUGGAAAAAACAGAACAGGACAUAACAGAUGUGAUCAAAAGGCCUAAUAUAUGUGUAAUUGGAGUCCCAGGAGUGAAGAGUGAAAAUGAGGCAGAAAAAAAUUCAAGUGAGAAUGGCUAAGAAUUUCCCCAAACUGAUGAAAGGCAUCCACCCACAAAUCCCAAUUUUGUACUUCCAACCACUGUUAUACCACCCCCCUCAACAAUGCCUAUAAAUGUUUGUUGAAAAUGAGUGAAUGAAUGUACUCCAAUCAUUUUCUCACUUGGAUGUUCCCUACUUUUUGCUCUUCUUAGAAAAUAAUAAAUGGUACAAUAAUAUCUCCCAUCUAUUGUAGGCUGACAAUAUCUCAGUACUACAGCCCCCCACAUUUUCACAUAACCUUAUGAAGUAGUUGGUGUUGUUACUGUCUCCAUUACAGGGGAGAAACCUGAGGCUCAGAGAUGUUAUGACUUAAGUAGUCUGUCCUAGCACUUUAACCUGCUCUGCUAAUCCUAAUGUCUAUACUCAUACCAGUGACUGUGUUCUCCCACCUUUACUAUCCUGUGCCUUCUGUGACCAAG
Molecule: long non-coding RNA, 3370 nt
Filed under: Homo sapiens (human)
Lineage: Eukaryota; Metazoa; Chordata; Mammalia; Primates; Hominidae
Description: HSALNT0396096
Source: RNAcentral